Molecule: long non-coding RNA, 1102 nt
Organism: Mustela erminea (ermine)
Lineage: Eukaryota; Metazoa; Chordata; Mammalia; Carnivora; Mustelidae
Exons: 3
Source: RefSeq, a predicted model, not a curated record
CCUGGAAGCAAAGGAGCAGAAUCCACUUUACCGCAUUCCUUUGGUUUAAUUUCUCCAGUCUCCAGAAUGGGCUCUCUCCUGGCUUUAUAAAAGUGGCUCCAUUUUAAGGUCUCUGUGGUGCAAACCACACAACAUGGACCUCCUCCCAAAGGGCAGGUAUCCAGUCAGGUGGAGGGACCAAAACUGGAGCAGCUGGCUCUGGCACUUGGAAGCAGGACCUUCAGAGACAGAACCACCAGAAAAGGAGGUUUGGAUCACUCUACCUGGUAAAGAGAUGCUUGCUGAAGGCAGAGGGAGGAGGAAAUGAGUAGGAAAGCAAGACCAUUAAUCCCAACGCAGCCUCUUGAAGAGUUCACAGACAUGAGUUCCCUUAUUUCCCCACGACCCUAUACUUCAUGUGUGUUGGUGGAUCAUUUGGAUCAUCUUGAGGGACAUCAGAGACCAAAUUGUAACAGAAAUGGAAAAGGGAGAGAGCAUCAGUGAGCGAUGGGACUUUGGGUUGGUUGCCUUGAAGACCUGGUGGAUGUGCUUCCAGAAGGCUGAGCAGAGGCAAUGUGGCAUUUGGUAGAAGGAUUUGUUUUGUUUUAGAAUGAAAUGUUGGAUGAAGAAAGUAUCAUGAUAUUAGGAAAAGGUGGACUGUGAUGGAAAUUUGUAAUUUUUUGAUGCUUGCCAUCAAAACACUUUCCACCUUGGAAGAUCCAAAGAUAUGUGGAGAGAAAACUCCCCCCGCCCUACUACCAAAGCUAAAGGGGGUAGAUGUUCUGUCUUCUCCCCGGCAGUCAGGGCACAUGGAGAGGCUCAGGCAGUUGGAUAUUCCUCCCAAUAUCCAAAAUGGGAUUUUUGAGUCAUGGGAGAAGGACAUGAUGCAAGACAGUUGAGAGUUAACUGGAGGGUGCCGAGUGUCCAAUAGGGCGAGUGUUAGCAUCCUCACUGGAGUGCUCCUGGGGUAUGAUCUUGGAUAUAUUCCCAGAUGCAUAAUCGUCCUUGGUUACAUUUUCCUCAGUCAUUUCUUCCACUUUAUGUGCUACAAGAUUACCUUUUUUUUUUUAAUUUAUUUAUUUGAAAGACAGAGAUCAACGUAGGCAGAGAGGCAGGCAGAGAG